UACGGAGGAUGCGAGCGUUAUCCGGAUUUAUUGGGUUUAAAGGGUGCGUGGGCGGAGUGUCAAGUCAGCGGUAAAAUUUCGGGGCUCAACCCCGUCGUGCCGUUGAAACUGGGGAUCUUGAGUGGGCGAGAAGUAUGCGGAAUGCGUGGUGUAGCGGUGAAAUGCAUAGAUAUCGCGCAGAACUCCGAUUGCGAAGGCAGCGUACCGGCGCCACACUGACGCUGAGGCACGAAAGCGUGGGGAUCGAACAGG
This 252-nucleotide ribosomal RNA is filed under the name uncultured Bacteroidales bacterium. RNAcentral describes it as "partial 16S ribosomal RNA". It matches the Rfam family "Bacterial small subunit ribosomal RNA", at positions 524 to 776 of the family's 1533-position model. Lineage: Bacteria; Pseudomonadati; Bacteroidota; Bacteroidia; Bacteroidales. The record is from RNAcentral.